CAGAACGUGGCGAAGUCUGGCAUCGCGCGUGGCUGGGGGCCACGAGAUCGCCGGUUCAAAUCCGGCCGUUCUGA
RNAcentral lists this transfer RNA (74 nucleotides) under Planctomycetota bacterium. RNAcentral describes it as "Planctomycetes bacterium (freshwater metagenome) tRNA-Pro". It matches the Rfam family "tRNA". From Rfam's summary of the family: Transfer RNA (tRNA) molecules are approximately 80 nucleotides in length. Their secondary structure includes four short double-helical elements and three loops (D, anti-codon, and T loops). The record is from RNAcentral. Lineage: Bacteria; Pseudomonadati; Planctomycetota.